UUUAUUGGAGAGUUUGAUCCUGGCUCAGGAUGAACGCUGGCGGCGUGCCUAAUACAUGCAAGUCGAGCGAAUGGAUUAAGAGCUUGCUCUUAUG
Molecule: ribosomal RNA, 94 nt
Filed under: Bacillus tropicus
Lineage: Bacteria; Bacillati; Bacillota; Bacilli; Caryophanales; Bacillaceae
Description: partial 16S ribosomal RNA
Rfam family: Bacterial small subunit ribosomal RNA
Source: RNAcentral